This 914-nucleotide ribosomal RNA is filed under the name uncultured bacterium. RNAcentral describes it as "bacterial SSU rRNA". It matches the Rfam family "Bacterial small subunit ribosomal RNA", at positions 56 to 962 of the family's 1533-position model. The record is from RNAcentral.
UGCAGUCGAACGGUAGACAUGUGUAUGUAGCUUGCACAUACGCUGACGAGUGGCGGACGGGUGAGUAAUGCUUGGGAACUUGCCUUUGCGAGGGGGAUAACAGUUGGAAACGACUGCUAAUACCGCAUAAUGUCUACGGACCAAACGGGGCUUAGGCUCCGGCGCAAAGAGAGGCCCAAGUGAGAUUAGCUAGAUGGUGAGGUAAAGGCUCACCAUGGCAACGAUCUCUAGCUGUUCUGAGAGGAAGAUCAGCCACACUGGGACUGAGACACGGCCCAGACUCCUACGGGAGGCAGCAGUGGGGAAUAUUGCACAAUGGGGGAAACCCUGAUGCAGCCAUGCCGCGUGUGUGAAGAAGGCCUUCGGGUUGUAAAGCACUUUCAGUUGUGAGGAAAGGGUGUUGGUUAAUACCCAAUAUCUGUGACGUUAACAACAGAAGAAGCACCGGCUAACUCCGUGCCAGCAGCCGCGGUAAUACGGAGGGUGCGAGCGUUAAUCGGAAUUACUGGGCGUAAAGCGCACGCAGGCGGUUUGUUAAGCUAGAUGUGAAAGCCCCGGGCUCAACCUGGGACGGUCAUUUAGAACUGGCAGACUAGAGUCUUGGAGAGGGGAGUGGAAUUCCAGGUGUAGCGGUGAAAUGCGUAGAUAUCUGGAGGAACAUCAGUGGCGAAGGCGACUCCCUGGCCAAAGACUGACGCUCAUGUGCGAAAGUGUGGGUAGCGAACAGGAUUAGAUACCCUGGUAGUCCACACCGUAAACGCUGUCUACUAGCUGUGUGUGAAUUUAAUUCGUGCGUAGCGAAGCUAACGCGCUAAGUAGACCGCCUGGGGAGUACGGCCGCAAGGUUAAAACUCAAAUGAAUUGACGGGGGCCCGCACAAGCGGUGGAGCAUGUGGUUUAAUUCGAUGCAACGC